GUUUGUUAUGCAGCCUGCAGAACCAGAAAUCAUGGGAAAAACUGCCCAUUUCUGUUUUGUCCACUUUGCUUUGGGAAGUGAGAGCUAUAGUCAUUAUCACCACAUCCCCUGGCAUCCAAUUCCACAUUCUACCUCAGAAGUUAUUUGGAGGAAUCCAAGGACUUAGAUAUUUUACCAAUGUCUCUGGUGAUUUUUAUAUCGGUGGCCCAUGGGUGUUGACCUAUGAAACUGCUCUGCAGCAGAUAUUGAGAAAUAGGAGUUCAGCUGAGGACUAUCCUGAUCAAAUAUGCAUACUUCAAAGAUUGCUUCAAUGGACCGAAUGGAAGGAAGAGGUUGCUGAUACCAUGGAAAUCAGUUAAAAGGCUCAUGAAAGAAUGCAAACAAAAAGUUUUUUCAACUGAAUUUGUCCUGCUCUACACCUCUUCCUCCACCCCUCCAAAAUAAAACAAGAUAAUACUGCCAAA
RNAcentral lists this long non-coding RNA (464 nucleotides) under Homo sapiens (human). RNAcentral describes it as "long intergenic non-protein coding RNA 2232". Lineage: Eukaryota; Metazoa; Chordata; Mammalia; Primates; Hominidae. The record is from RNAcentral.